This 1240-nucleotide long non-coding RNA is filed under the name Ricinus communis (castor bean). RNAcentral's name for it is "long non-coding RNA (RCOM_LNC001965)". Lineage: Eukaryota; Viridiplantae; Streptophyta; Magnoliopsida; Malpighiales; Euphorbiaceae. The record is from RNAcentral.
UAGUGUAACAUUUUCCAACUUGGCAGUGAUUUAAAUUCAAGGGUUCCUCCUUAAAUGCAAAUGUGCUCAUACUUACAUAAGACUUUUAUUUCAAAGGUCUACCUCAGCACAUAUAAGACCUUUAUCUCUGAAGGUCUACCUUGACUAAGUAAGAUCUCUGCCUUGUAUUAAGCUCUAUACCUUAAUAAAAUAAAAACAUUUAUCUCGAAGGAGCAAAUGUCACACCUCUACCUCAGAAAACCAACUCAGCACUAAUCGAAGACUGCUAUAUAAAACCCUAAGGGAUAAGUAUUAUCCAUCACUAAAGUUGGUUCUAAUACAAAAGUAAAUUUAUGUAUUUUAAUAUUACAUUAAAACUUCUUUAGAUUUUUAUAAACAAAUUAUUACUUUUUUUUUAUGCGAAGUCAAUAUAGUCAAAUGAUAAAGUAAUAAUUUAAAAUUAUAAUUUGAUUUUCACACUUAAUAUCAAGUGUCAAACUCAUCAAAAAUUAAUAUUUCUUAUGAGAUUAGAAUAAAGUCUUAUUUUUAGUAUAAUUUAAUUCAAAAAAUUGUAAAUGUACUGAAAACAUUUAUUUUUUGGAGCAAUAUUAUUAAAUCAUUAUAUAACCUAAUUUAUAAUUAUUAAAUAAAUAAAUUUUUUUCCUUAAAAUGAUAAUAUUCCUAUUAGACACUAGAAUUAAACUAUACUAAAAAUAAAAAUUUACUCAUGCUAAUCUUAUGCGAAUCAUAAGUAAAACAAUACUAAAUGUUUUUAAGAUGUUUAAAUCUUGCUUGAAGUAAAUUGUACUAAAAAUAACAAAUUAAAAGCAAAUAAAAGUAUAUCUAUUAGUUAUUUUAUAUUAAUAAAGAAAGCUUUAUUUUUAUAAGAAACUAAAAUUUAACUUGUGUAUUUUAAGAGUAAAAAUUUAUAUCCUAAUUUGAUAAAGGAAAUGAAUUUUAAAUAAGUUUGAUAUUUGAUAGUAGUUUAAGAAUGAAAUCACAUUUUUAACUCAAUUUAGUAUUUGAUUGCAUUAACAAUGAAUAAUAGUUAGUUGUAUAAAAAUCUAAAGGAAUUCCAAUAUUGAAAAAAGAAAAAAGAAAAAAGAAAAAAAUGUAUGUAUUAAACCAGAUUUGAAGAAAUAAAUGAUAUUUAAUCCAAACCUUAAGAUAUUAAAAGUAUAACUUCUUCCUCCUUGUCCCACUUUAAUUGAAUAUAUAACUUCUCUAUAAUGUCUGAUUUAGGCAUUAAAGUCAGAUUACC